This 391-nucleotide ribosomal RNA is filed under the name uncultured eukaryote. RNAcentral's name for it is "partial 18S ribosomal RNA". It matches the Rfam family "Eukaryotic small subunit ribosomal RNA", at positions 592 to 976 of the family's 1831-position model. The record is from RNAcentral.
CAAUAGCGUAUAUUAAAGUUGUUGCAGUUAAAAAGCUCGUAGUUGGAUUUCUGUGAGAGUGCCGGUGUCGGCUGAUGCUUGUACGCAGGCGCUCUUACAUCCUUCUGUUAACUGUUCUUGGCAUUUUAUUGCUGGUUCAGGGCUCAGAUAUUUUACCUUGAGAAAAUUAGAGUGUUUCAGGCAGGCUUAUGCCGGAAUACAUUAGCAUGGAAUAAUGGAACAGGACCUGUGCGUCUCUCGGGGCGCCGGUCUCCGUUGUUGGUUUCGGGGACUAAUGUAAUGAUUAAUAGGGAUAGUUGGGGGCAUUAGUAUUUAAUAGUCAGGGGUGAAAUUCUCGGAUUUGUUAAAGACUAACUUAUGCGAAAGCAUUUGCCAAGGAUGUUCUCAUUAA